Molecule: ribosomal RNA, 215 nt
Filed under: Cratomus megacephalus
Lineage: Eukaryota; Metazoa; Arthropoda; Insecta; Hymenoptera; Pteromalidae
Description: partial 28S ribosomal RNA
Rfam family: Eukaryotic large subunit ribosomal RNA
Source: RNAcentral
UUUCCCUCAGGAUAGCUGGCACUCGCUUGAGCGAGUCUCAUCUGGUAAAGCGAAUGAUUAGAGGCCUUGGGGCCGAAACGACCUCAACCUAUUCUCAAACUUUAAAUGGGUGAGAUCUCUGGCUUGCUUGAACGUUGAAGCCACGAGAAAUUUUUAUGUAAUGGAUCAGAGUGCCAAGUGGGCCAAUUUUGGUAAGCAGAACUGGCGCUGUGGGA